ACCUUUGUAGCUUAAUAGGGAGAGCAUUUACCUUGUAAGUAAGGGGUUGUAGGUUCAAAUCCUGCCGGAGGUA
This 73-nucleotide transfer RNA is filed under the name Negombata magnifica. RNAcentral describes it as "transfer RNA-Thr (UGU)". It matches the Rfam family "tRNA". Rfam says of the family: Transfer RNA (tRNA) molecules are approximately 80 nucleotides in length. Their secondary structure includes four short double-helical elements and three loops (D, anti-codon, and T loops). Lineage: Eukaryota; Metazoa; Porifera; Demospongiae; Poecilosclerida; Latrunculiidae. The record is from RNAcentral.